Molecule: non-coding RNA, 790 nt
Organism: Phasianus colchicus (ring-necked pheasant)
Lineage: Eukaryota; Metazoa; Chordata; Aves; Galliformes; Phasianidae
Source: RefSeq, a predicted model, not a curated record
CAGAGAAUUCUCCCUACCUCUGAAGCCUUUUUAUUGCUGAUGAAACUCGACUUCAGCCAGAGAAAUCUUCUCAUUCGUGUUACUGUGAGAUAUUUCAGGCCCACACUUGUGAGGGCCCAAAAUAAAAGCAGAAGUGAUUGCGGGGCAGAGCCAGCUCUGUGAGUUAAAAUGAAGUCUAGCCACGUGAGUGAAGCUAAGAAUUUGCAGCAUGACCUUUAGUGCUAGAAGUAGACCCUCCAAAAUAAAAGGAAUUAAAUCUUCAGACUGCAGUGAUGACCCUAAAUUAGGUGAUAGAUUUUGCUAAGUGGUCCCGCAGAACAGCUCUGCAGAGAAAUGAUUGAAAGUUAAUCUGUUCCGCUGAGAUGAGAAGUGUAUCUUUGUCCUUGGGAAACUGCAGUCUGUCCAGGCAGUGACCUUCUUGGAGCCGUACCAUUUCUCAGGUGGUAUGCGGACACUUUCCUUGUGGAUGAGAAACAGCAUUCAAAAUACCAACUGCUCACAGUAUUAAAUAUUCUUUCAUAACCUUCAAAGCUGACCCUAGUGCUGUUGAGCUGACCCUAGUGCUGUUGGAAAUAAGCAGUAAGGAUGAACUUCGUGAUAGAAUUAGCAGCAACUGAGAUUUUCAUCAUGAGAGUAAGAGCCUCACUCACCUUGGUAGUGCCGUGUCCUGCUAGAGUUCUCCCAGAGUGUCUUCCACAGAAGAUUGCUUCUGGUCAUCAGAAGUGAGUGUAUCCAGGUACCUGACGGACUGAGUUUCUCAUGUUUUACAUGUGCUCAGUUUUUCCUUAUA